RNAcentral lists this ribosomal RNA (1670 nucleotides) under Triticum aestivum (bread wheat). RNAcentral describes it as "partial small subunit ribosomal RNA". The record is from RNAcentral. Lineage: Eukaryota; Viridiplantae; Streptophyta; Magnoliopsida; Poales; Poaceae.
AUUCCUUCCCGUUCGGACCUGGCUGCACCCCCGCUCCAAAUCCCAAACCCCACGCGAUCGCGCGCCCAAUUACUCGAGGCGAUCCCUCGUUGACCCUCCCCAGCGUCCAGAUCCGGCGACUGCCGUCUCAAAAGCAUCACCCCAACCCCUCGAUAAAUCGCCACGCCACCGCUCAGUCGACAGCAUCCCACCGCUCUUCGCUCGACCCCUCCACCCGCUCUCCCUCCUCGACCGCCGGCGGAUCCGUCCAGGAGCGGAUCAUGUGACUUCGACCACAAACGAAGAUGUCUAAUCUCUCAGAGCCCUCAAAAGAAGAUGGUUCAGUCGAGAAAACUGGAGCUUGGAAUAACACAUGGAGCACUCUUAUGCGCCACGCUUCAGUCUAUGGUGUGGCUGCUGGUUAUUGCCUGUCAGCAUCUCUGCUCUCCAUUAUCAACAAAUGGGCAAUCAUGAAGUUUCCCUACCCUGGAGCACUGACAGCUUUACAGUACCUCACUAGUGUUGCUGGAGUUCUCCUGUGUGGACAGCUAAAGCUUAUUGAGCCUGAUAGGCUGAAUUUGAGGACCAUGUGGAAGUUCUUACCUGCUGCUGUUAUGUUCUACAUCUCAAUCUUCACAAACAGCGAGCUCCUGAUGCAUGCCAAUGUGGACACUUUCAUCGUGUUUCGGUCUGCUGUGCCGAUAUUUGUGGCCAUUGGGGAGACACUUUACCUUCACCAACCAUGCCCAUCAUUCAAGACAUGGCUCUCACUUUCCACUAUACUUGGUGGAAGUGUGAUAUAUGUUUUCACAGAUAACCAGUUCACCCUGACUGCUUACAGCUGGGCAAUAGCCUAUCUAGCGAGCAUGUCUAUUGACUUCGUGUACAUCAAACACGUCGUCAUGACCAUCGGGUUGAACACAUGGGGCCUUGUGCUCUACAACAACCUUGAGGCUCUGCUCUUGUUCCCCCUUGAGCUCCUUAUAAUGGGAGAGUUUAAUCAGAUGAAGGUGGACAGCUCCAAGAUGACAACAAACUGGCUAUCGUUCGACGUGGUCCUUCCUGUUGCUCUGUCAUGCCUGUUCGGGUUAUCAAUAUCCUUCUUUGGAUUCUCCUGCAGACGGGCCAUCUCUGCUACUGGAUUUACGGUGCUCGGUAUAGUGAACAAGCUCCUGACCGUCGUGAUCAAUCUGCUUAUCUGGGACAAGCAUGCGUCCCUUGUGGGGACAAUUGGGCUCUUGAUAUGCAUGUCUGGUGGUGUUCUCUACCAGCAAUCGACCACAAAGCCCAAGGUGCCCAAGAUCGAGCCAAAGGAAGAGGACGAUGAAGAGGGGCAGAAUUUGCUGCAGGUUCAGCCCGGGCAUGAGAGCAACUCAAGUCAAAAGCAUUCCUCCUGAUAAGCUUACUUUACCUUCCCUCGACAACCCAUUCGUGGUAUAUCUCAGAUGAGGAAUCUUGAACAUGCUGUAGAACAUCGGUGUUUCAAGAGAAACUAAAUUUCAUUCUACAAUAUCUUUGUUAUAUUAUACUGUUUUUCAUUGGUUAGACAGGAUUGUGGUGGUGGUGGUGUAGGGUACCAGACACCUCAACAUACCAGGGUCGAAUCCCCUGUAUACUGAACCAUGUAUUCUAUUUACCAAAUUCCAGAAAUACAAUGGAUGUACUUAUUCGCUUCGCGGCAUAAGUUUUUU